This 379-nucleotide long non-coding RNA is filed under the name Saimiri boliviensis boliviensis (Bolivian squirrel monkey). Its description in RNAcentral is "lncRNA (ENSSBOG00000036546.1)". Lineage: Eukaryota; Metazoa; Chordata; Mammalia; Primates; Cebidae. The record is from RNAcentral.
UAGGCCCCACGUGAGCCUCAGGGAGCCCCCAGCGUCUUCACUGUUGUUGUCGUUAGUGUUAUCCCAAGAGUGCUCAACUGUAAAACGUUCUUUGCUUUUUUGUUAAGAGGAACAAAUAGCGAAGGUUUUGCUUUCAGGGGAAGAAGAGGAAGAGACGCAGUCAUCUGCUGAUGACCUCACCCCGUCCGUGACCUCCCACGAGGCCUCUGACCUCUUCCCAAACCGGAGUGGAUCUCGUUUCCUGGCUGAUGAAGUCAAAGAACCUGGCUCUUCUGCCUCCUCUGACCCUGAGGAGGACUCCCUUCCUGCCAACAAAUGUAAGAAGGAGAUCAUGGUGGGACCUCAGUUCCAAGCUGACCUCAGCAGCCUGCACUUGAAC